GGACAAUCCUGCAAAAGCAUAUCCUGCGUAUGAAACAAUGUCAAGGAGUGGAGCCUCUCCACUACCCAAUGACAACAAUGUCAUCUUCAGCAAUGAAACUUGUAAAAACCAGCCAACCAAUCCCUUGAUAAACAGCCAACUCAGAGCUUCUGGACUAAACCUCCCCUGCAGACCUAAUGAUAAGCCAGCAAGAACAACAUAAGUACCAAAGGCCAUAAAUGGAAUGUAUAAAUCUGGAGCAUUUAUGUCAUAGAUAGGGGGCUUAUAGGAUAGCC
Molecule: unclassified non-coding RNA, 275 nt
Filed under: Hevea brasiliensis (rubber tree)
Lineage: Eukaryota; Viridiplantae; Streptophyta; Magnoliopsida; Malpighiales; Euphorbiaceae
Source: RNAcentral